This 437-nucleotide unclassified non-coding RNA is filed under the name Hevea brasiliensis (rubber tree). The record is from RNAcentral. Lineage: Eukaryota; Viridiplantae; Streptophyta; Magnoliopsida; Malpighiales; Euphorbiaceae.
AUCCGAGGAGAGUCAUUCCCUUGAAGGAGGUGAGAAAUUGUAUCACGACCCUUCAACAGAAGGUCAGAAAGAGGCUGGACCAAAGAGUGAGCUUACAUCAGGUGUAAAAAGUUUAGACAGAUCUUUAUCAAAUCCCCGUUCUUUAGGUGAAAUUCCUGCGUCAUACGAAAUAUCUGAGUAUGAGCACUUGAUUGAGCAGGAAAUGAGAUGGCUCAAAGCAAACUACCAGAUAAAAUUGAGGGAGCUAAAAGAUCAACACUUGGGACUUCCACCUAAAGCUUCAAAGCCUCCUACAGGUUCCUCUAAGCGGAAAAAGAAGACGAAGAAUAAGAACUCAUGUCUUGAAACUCUACUAAAGUCUUCUGAUUGUGGCAAGACCAUUAGUUCAGAAUCAAAUGGACUUAGCUGCCCCAUUUCGGUAUCCCAAAGGGCCCGAA